GAGCAUGAGCCUGUUCGGACGCUUCCACCACCGCCACCAUCUUCGCCACCGCCACGAGCAGGACGUGGAGGAGGAGGAAGACCACAAGGAGGACAAGGACGCAGGCCCGAAGAUGAAGCUGUUCGGACGUUUCCACCACCACCACGCGCACGACAGCGACAACGAGGUCGACGAGGUGGAAGAACUGGCUAGGAAGCUGAGCGAGGCGAUCAUGAGAAGGAGCUUCAGCCAUGGCGGCCGCCGCCACCACCACCACCACGGCGCGGAGGGCGGGGUGAAGAAGUGGUUCAAGGGCCUCAUGAACCGAUUCUAGACGUACCGCCGGCCGGCGGCUGGUUGAUUUGGUCGUUUAAUUACUUUGGUUAAUCUGUUCUCUGCACUGUGUGCGUGACGUGGAGUGCUCUGCCAUUUCGUACCUUUUUUUGCUUCCUAUUCCACAUUACAUUACUACUUGUGUUGAUAUAUGUACUGGUGUGUUAGUUUACUC
RNAcentral lists this long non-coding RNA (487 nucleotides) under Triticum aestivum (bread wheat). RNAcentral describes it as "long non-coding RNA (TAES_LNC000741)". Lineage: Eukaryota; Viridiplantae; Streptophyta; Magnoliopsida; Poales; Poaceae. The record is from RNAcentral.